Molecule: ribosomal RNA, 638 nt
Filed under: uncultured fungus
Lineage: Eukaryota; Fungi
Description: eukaryotic LSU rRNA
Rfam family: 5.8S ribosomal RNA (bases 254-407)
Source: RNAcentral
CUUGGUCAUUUAGAGGAAGUAAAAGUCGUAACAAGGUCUCCGUUGGUGAGCCAGCGGAGGGAUCAUUACCGAGUUUACAACUCCCAAACCCAUGUGAACAUUACCUCUAUGUUGCUUCGGCGGAGCCGCCCCGGCGCCCGGAACCCCCUGCGGUCCCGCGGCCCGGAACCAAGGCGCCCGCCGGAGGCCACAAACUCUUCUGUUUUUACAGUUUCUUCUGAGUGUGCCGCAAGGCAGUAUACAAAUGAAUCAAAACUUUCAACAACGGAUCUCUUGGUUCUGGCAUCGAUGAAGAACGCAGCGAAAUGCGAUAAGUAAUGUGAAUUGCAGAAUUCAGUGAAUCAUCGAAUCUUUGAACGCACAUUGCGCCCGCCAGAAUUCUGGCGGGCAUGCCUGUUCGAGCGUCAUUUCAACCCUCGAGCUCCCCUUUCGGGGGGAGCCCGGCGUUGGGGACCCGGCGCUAACAACGCCGGCCCCGAAAUGGAGUGGCGGCCCGUCCGCGGCGACCCCUGCGUAGUAACAACCACUCGCACCGGGACCCGGGCGCGGCCACGCCGUAAAACACCCCACCUUCCGAAUGUUGACCUCGAAUCAGGUAGGAAUACCCGCUGAACUUAAGCAUAUCAAUAAGCGGAGGA